This is a long non-coding RNA of Thamnophis elegans (Western terrestrial garter snake), 1011 nucleotides long. RefSeq lists it as uncharacterized. NCBI's taxonomy places the organism in Eukaryota, Metazoa, Chordata, Lepidosauria, Squamata, Natricidae. The record is from RefSeq and is a predicted model, not a curated record. The transcript is spliced from 2 exons.
CUGUGUGCUUUGAGGAGGUGGCUGUGUACUUCAUGGAGGAGGAGUGGGCCCUGCUGGAUUCUAGCCAAGAAUCUUUGUACAAGGAGGUCAUGCAGGAGAUUUCUAGGAAUGUGGUUGUGAACAAGGGAAUGAGCAUGACAAGGAGUCAUGGGAAGUGCCAUUGCAAAUAAUCAAGCAGGAGGUGGAAGAACUGAUGAUUGAAAAGCAAGGGAAACAAAGAGGCCACGACAGAACCUACUCAAAGAAUGGGGAGAAGAAAUUUCCUCCUCUAUGUGUUGAACUCCAUGAUUUCCCAAUCCAGGCAGAUCCGAAAAGAAAGGGACAAUACCCAGAAUGUGACAAAAGAGUUCAACAUAAAUUUGAUUCAAAUGCCUCUUGCAAAACCCAGACUAAAUGGAAACAAUAUAAAUAUAGACAGCACAAAAACAUAUUUCCUUCCCUCUUAAUGGACCUGAAAAAUUCUGUAUGAAAAAUAAGUCACAUACAUUUUUAAGAUCUGGAAAGAAUAUUAGCCUGAACCUCAGUCGUCAAAGUUCCUCUGAAGGAUUUCACCCAACACAGAAAUCGCAUAAAUGCUCUGAGUGUGGGAAGAGCUUUAGUAACAGCAGUGCCCUUACUUUCCAUCAAAGGACCCACACGGAUGAAAAACCAUAUAAAUGUGUGAAGCGUAAUAAGACCACCUAUAGAAACAGUAUUCUUAUUUGUCAUCUUGAUGCGAAACCAUAUGAAUGCAUGGAGUGUGGAAGGAGUUUCAGUAGCAGCAAUGCCCUUACUAACCAUUGAAGGAUUCACACAAGGGAGAAGCUGUACAAGUGCACAGAAUGUGGGAAAUGUUUCAGUAGCAACAGUGCCCUUACUAACCAUCUAAGAAUCCACACAGGGAAGAAACCAUAUAAAUGCAAGGUGUGUGGAGAAAGCUUUAGAUGGAGCAGUGAUCUUACUUCCCAUUGGAGGGUUCACACAGAGGUGAAACUAUAUUGCCAAGAUGCCAGCAGUCCAAUUCAACAAGAA